Molecule: non-coding RNA, 45 nt
Filed under: Schistosoma mansoni
Lineage: Eukaryota; Metazoa; Platyhelminthes; Trematoda; Strigeidida; Schistosomatidae
Source: RNAcentral
AUCCAUCUGACGAGUCUCAAAUAGGACGAAACGCGCGUCCCAGAU